GAGUUUGAUCUUGGCUCAGAUUGAACGCUGGCGGCAUGCCUUACACAUGCAAGUCGAGCGGCAGCAUGAUCUAGCUUGCUAGAUUGAUGGCGAGUGGCGAACGGGUGAGUAAUACAUCGGAACGUGCCCUGUAGUGGGGGAUAACUAGUCGAAAGAUUAGCUAAUACCGCAUACGACCUGAGGGUGAAAGUGGGGGACCGCAAGGCCUCAUGCUAUAGGAGCGGCCGAUGUCUGAUUAGCUAGUUGGUGGGGUAAAGGCCCACCAAGGCGACGAUCAGUAGCUGGUCUGAGAGGACGAUCAGCCACACUGGGACUGAGACACGGCCCAGACUCCUACGGGAGGCAGCAGUGGGGAAUUUUGGACAAUGGGCGAAAGCCUGAUCCAGCAAUGCCGCGUGUGUGAAGAAGGCCUCGGUGU
Molecule: ribosomal RNA, 418 nt
Filed under: uncultured microorganism
Description: bacterial SSU rRNA
Rfam family: Bacterial small subunit ribosomal RNA
Source: RNAcentral